AUAGUGAACGCGCAACUUUCAAACAAUCCCCCCCCGUCUCCCUUUACUAAUAGUGAGCGCGCAACUUUCAAACCAUUCCCCCCACUCUCACCCCAAUCUAGGAAAUUCUGACGAUCAUGGCAAAGUUUAAAGAUUGUUCUUCACUUUCAUAAAAAAAUGUAAUGUUAAGAGUAAAGUAGGACGCCCAGGUUUCAACUAGGCGAUAAGAUAGUUUCAUGAAAGGAGUGUAUACAGUGCCUUGCAAAAGUAUUCAUCCCCCUUUGCGUUUUUCCUAGUUUGUUGCAUUACAAGAUGAAAUUUAAAUGGAUUUUUAUUUGGAAUACAAGUAAUGGACAUACACAAAAUAGUCCAAAUUGGUGAAUUGAAAUGAAAAAACAAAAACAAAAGAGUGGUGUGUGCAUAUGUAUUUGCCCCCUUUGCUAAGAAGCCCCUAAAUAAGAGCGGGUGCAACCAAUUACCUUCAGACGUCACAUAAUUAGUUUAAAGUCCACCUGUGUGCAAUCUGUCACAUGAUCUCAGUAUAUAUACACCAGUUCUGAAAGGCCCCAGAGUCUGCAACACCACUAAGCAAGGGGCACAGCCAAGCAAGCGGCACCAUGAAGACCAAGGAGCUCUCCAAACAGGUCAGGGACAAAGUUGUGGAGAUGUACAGAUCAGGGUUGGGUUAUAAAAAAAUAUCUGAAACUUUGAACAUCCCACGGAGCACCAUUAAAUCCAUUAUUAAAUAAUGGAAAGAAUAUGGCACCACAAUAAGCCUGCCAAGAGAGGGCCACCCACAAACUCACAGACCAGGCAAGGAGGGCAUUAAUCAGAGAGGCAACAAAGAGACUAAAGACAACCCUGAAGGAGCUGCAAAGCUCCACAGUGGAGAUUGGCGUGUCUCUCCAUAGGACCACUUUAGGCCGUGCACUCCACAGAGCUGGGCUUUACGGAAGAGUGGACAGAAAAAAGCCAUUGCUUAAAGAAAAAAAUAAGAGAACACGUUUGGUGUUUGCCAAAAGGCAUGUGGAAGACUCCAAACAUAUGGAAGAAGGUACUCUGGUCAGAUGAGACUAAAAUUGAGCUUUUUGGCCAUCAAGGAAAAUGUUAUGUAUGGCGCAAACCCAACACCUCCAUCACCCCGCGAAGACCAUCCCCACAGUGAAGCAUGGUGGUGGCGGCGACAUCAUGCUGUGGGGAUAUUUGUCAUCGGCAGGGACUGGGAAACUGGUCAGAAUUGAAGGAAUGAUGGAUGGCGCUAAAUACAGGGAAAUUCUUGAGGGAAACCUGUUUAUCUUCCAGAGAUUUGAGACUGGGAUGGAGCUUCUCCUUCCAGCAGGACAAUGACCCUAAGCGUGAUGUGCAAGUAAAGAUACUGGGGUGCAAAAGAGCAAAACAAAUAAAAAAUAAAAUAACAAUAUUGGGAUGAGGUAGUUGGGUGGGCUAUUUACAGAUGGGCUGUGUACAGGUGCAGUAAUCGGUAAGCUGCUCUGACAGCUGAUGCUUAUAGUUAGUGAGGGAGAUAUGUCUGCAGCUUCAGUGAUUUUUGCAAUUUGUUUGUCAUUGGCAGCAGAGAACUGGAAGGAAAGGCGGCCGAAGAAGGUGUUGGCUUUGGGAUGACCAGUGAAAUAUACCUGGAGUGUGUGCUACGGGUGGGUGUAGCUAUGGUGACCAGUGGGCUAAGAUAAGGCAGAGCUUUACCUAGCAAAGACUUUUAUAGAUGACCUGGAGCCAGUGGGUUUGACGACGGAUCUGUAGCGAGGGCCAGCCAAUGAGAGCAUACAGGUCGCAGUGUUGGGUAGUAUAUGGGGCUUUAUUGACAAAACGAAUGGCACUAUGAUUGACUACAUCCAAUUUUCUGAGUAGGGUGUUGGCUAUUUUGUAAAUGACAUCGACGAAGUCGAGGAAUGGUAGGAUAGUCAGUUUUACGAGGGUAUGUUUGGCAGCAUAAGCGAAGGAGGCUUUGUUUCGAAAUAGGAAGCCGGUUCUAGAUUUAAUUUUGGAUUGGAGAUGCUUAAUGUGAGUCUGGAAGGAGAGUUUACAGUCCACAGUCCGUAGCAUUUGAUAUUUUUCCGCAUUGACAUUACCAGAGAAUUUAAGACCUUUUUUGUAAUAACAUAGUAUAUGGGAUUGAUUUUAUGAAAUUUGGCUUAAUUCAUUUGAUUAAUAUUAUGUUUCUAUUCAGAGAAAAUCGAAACCCUCACGGUUUCUAUGGCGCUGUACAAUGUGACGUCAGGAGGAUUCUAAAUAGUUUGCCUUCAUUAGCCAACUUUGUUCCAAUAUUUCUGUAAAUCAGUGAUAUUUAUUCCCAUAGCAAUUCGUUAUGGAAUGGAUCCAUAACUAAAUCAACAUCUGUAUUUUGAAAGAGGAUUUUUUUUUAACAAAAUGUGUUUUUGUUUGUUAGGCUUCUGUGCAGUCGACAAUAAAUACUGUAGUAAACAUGGGUAAGUGCCUAAUUCCUUACAUAAGGGAGAGCAGGCCAUGUCUGUAAUACAGAAUGCAGGACAUGCAUUAUUUCAUAGUUCAUAGUGAUGUCUUCACUAUUAUUCUGCAAUGUAGAAAAUAGUAAAAAUAAAGAAAAAUCCUGGAAUGAGUAGGUGAGUCUGAACGUUUGACUGGUACUUCCUUAUAUAAUUUGAUUCUUUCCAUGAAAAAGAAUGGAGAGGAAAAUAUGGCGUCCUACAAUAUGAUUCCAUAUGUGUUAUUUCAUUGUUGUGAUGUCUUCACAGCAUAGUUGUGAUGUCUACUACAGAAUUAUAUAUUAGACAUUAAUCAACACUAGUGAGACUCAUUUCGCCUAUGGUAGGCCUACAGUAUAUUGAAAAAAAAAAAUUAAAUGCCGCGACUCUCCGCCAAUAAUUACAUUUAGAGGAUUGGAGGACUCUAUAUUAAUAUCUAAGGGGCAUUUUCCGUUAGGAUCUGUGAGAAUAUCUGACAAUAUCUAAGGGUCUUUUAUAUAAUUCUAAAUUAAUUUAUUAUAAUAACCACUUUGUUAAAGGGUAAUGAUAGGAGAGUUUGUUUUCAUUUAACCUAGAGUGAGCAAGAAAAAGGCUUCUAUUCAGUCAACACACAUCUCAGGAAUAUGGCAUAUUUGAACAAGUAAUUCGUUAUGGAUCCAUAACUAAAUAAACAUCAGCAUUUGAAAGAGUAUUUUUAUCAUUAUUCUAUUUACGAAAGCAUAGUUGCUGAUGAAGAAAUACAAUACUGUACAGUAUUGGGGUGGCAAGGUGGCCUAGUGGUUAGAGCAUUGGACUAGUAACUGGAAGGUUGCAAGUUCAAACCCCCGAGCUGACAAGGUAACAUUUCUGUCGUUCUGCCCCUGAACAGGCAGUUAACCCACUGUUCCUAGGCCGUCAUUGAAAAUAAGAAUUUGUUCUUAACUGACUUGCCUAGUUAAAUAAAUAUGGAUAGUACAGCAUUUUGAAGAUAUAAGCCAGCUGCAUUUGUUUUUUAGGCUACUGUGCAGUCUGACAAAUAAACAUAGAAUACAGUACUGUAAUUUCCGGACUAUAAGCCUCUACUUUUUCCCCACGCUUUGAACCUCGCGGUUUAUACAAUGACAAGAUUCAUGCCGCCAAUAAACUGAGCACCGUCACAUAAUGUGACGUAAAUCGAGCGCGCUCAAACUUCCCAUCAUUCUGAUUACGGUAGUCAUUUUGUCACCCUCAUCAUGGCAAAGACACGGAGAAAUGCAUAUGAUGCAGCUUUCAAGUUGAAGGCGAUCGAUCUGGCUGUUGGAAAAGGAAAUAGAGCUGCUGACAGCGUGGAGCAUUGUCAAAAAAUCCACUAUCAUCAACGGGUUUCGAAAGGCUGGACUGCUGCGUGUUGAAGAGGGCAGCGAUCCAACAUCGGAUGAAGCAAUUCUGAGGCUAUUCAUCUCCGACACCGAAGGAGAUGACUUCAGUGGUUUCAGUGCACAGGAGGAGGAAGAUAGUGACCAAUGACUUUCUUGGUAGGCUACUGUUUACUGCUAUUUUUUAAAUUUUUGUUACAAGCCGUGUUUCGUUUAAAGGCUGUGUAAAGUUAAUUUGUUUCAAUGUACCGGUAGGCACCUGCGGCUUAUAGACAUGUGCGGCUUAUUUAUGUACAAAAUGCAUUUUUUUAUUUUUUAUUCAGUGGGUGCGGUUUAUAUUCAGGUGCGCUUAAUAGUCCAGAAAUUACGGUACAUACUGUAGUAAACAUGGGAAAUGCCUAAUUCCUUACAUAAGGGAGAGCAGGCCAUGUCCAGACUUUCUCGGUGACCACAAGUACUCAUUAACUCUGUCUUUUAAUGCUUUUUCGGGUUGCAUCAGUCAUGGAAGGAAACUCCUGAGACACAGUAUUAACGAUGAUCACCCGGAGGUUCACUGGUAAGCUACAUUUGCCUCGAGAUCCAUCCGUUUGUAUUCUGUGCCCAGUCGAGGUAACUCUCUUCGAUUACACAUCCUUGGAAUAGCAGAACAGCAUAACGGUCUGGGCGGCCCUUGCUGUGCCUGGUGAGCAGUUGGUCAAGUUCUGUUGUCAGGGCUUUCAGCAGGAACGGAAAAUCUACUGGAGACAUUUAAAAAAUACUGGUAGACUUGGGGAUUUUGGUCACGGACAGUGCCAUUCACAAACACUAUCAUCAGAUGCCUGUUUUACGCCGAACUCGAAAGCCCAGGAAAAUUCACAGGUACAGUAGACUACCAUAUUUUAAUGUAGGCCUAAUAAUGCUAAAAAAUAAUGCUUAAAUAAAUCGACUGCUGAUCUUUACUGUAUGCUGCACAUUUUCACAUUGUAUUUCAUUUCCAGUGAGACUAUUCAAGCCAUCAACUCACUGUUGAAUGAAAAUGACGAGCGAUCGGCAAUCUGUAAUCUGCUGGCAUCACGGCACGACAUCAACAUCGCUCUAAUUACAGUCAGAAGACAGUUGAAGAAACUUGGGUGGACUUACAGAAAGGCUUAGCCCAGGCAUGGAUCAAAGCUGCCGAGACGUUCAAUAAUGUCAUCGUCACAGACUAAUCAACCGUGGCCCUUGAGCAAUUUGCUCAAAAUUGCUACAAAAAAAAGGAAGAUCAAACGAGCCGAGUCCCAAGCAUCUGCUCAAACUCCAUGUGUGAGGGGCAAUUUCUCGCCAGGGACCAGGCCCAUAUUUGACUUUUGAUGGUGAGUUUGGCUAUUUACAAAGCAAAAGGUACAUCAAAUAUUGUAGGCUACAACUCAGUCUGUUAUGUGUUCCACAAUAAUUCACCUUGCCUCCUUUUUCAGGUAUGGCUCAAGAUUUAUUUUUCUUUCUUUGAGGAAGAAAACCUUAGGAGAUAUGGACCCUAUGUCAGAGAGGUGUUUCUGGGACCACAUUGUUUCUUUCAAAGUCUCCUGAUUUUUAAACCCGGUCAAACUGGUUUGGCAUCAACUGAAAACAUUCAUCCGUAACUCUGCCAAGCCGACAAGCACAGAUGAACUGGUCAAGGCCAUCAAGAUGUUUUUGGCUUGAGAAAUUGACCAUACAACAAUGCAACAAAUACAUUGAUAAUCUCAGCAAGGUUUUACCUGUGGUUUUGGAGCUGGGUGGAAGUGCGACUAAAAUGUAGUUUAUAUAAACAUCCGCAUUUGAAUGUAUUUUUCUCGUUUAUUUUAUUUUUAUUAACAAAAGCAUAAAGAUGUUGCGGAAUAAAUACUGUACUGCUGUUUGUUAGAAAUGUAACACUUUAGAGUACUUAAGCAUCAAACGUUGAUGGAUUUUCACAACAGUAGCAGGUGGUUAUAGGUUAGUAGGUUAUACAAAGGUAGGUUAUACAAAAAGUCUAUUGUUCUGCUAAUAGGAAACAUUAGCAUGAUGGACAUCACCUGCUACAGUUGUGAAAAACAAGUGUUUGCAAACCGGUUUUCAAAAUGCCUCCAGUUGUCCAUCACUACUGUAAAUAAAAACACAUUUUGUUUCCAUUCUUUAUUGUGUCACACAUCAUUUAUCUACCUUUCCAAUAACUUUUAGAGUUUGGGAUUUACAAAUGUGCG
Molecule: long non-coding RNA, 5952 nt
Organism: Oncorhynchus tshawytscha (Chinook salmon)
Lineage: Eukaryota; Metazoa; Chordata; Actinopteri; Salmoniformes; Salmonidae
Source: Ensembl